Lagopus muta (rock ptarmigan) is the source of this 6850-nucleotide long non-coding RNA. RefSeq lists it as uncharacterized. The transcript has 3 exons. The record is from RefSeq and is a predicted model, not a curated record. NCBI's taxonomy places the organism in Eukaryota, Metazoa, Chordata, Aves, Galliformes, Phasianidae.
GUGCUUGGAGGGGCUGAGUUUCGGGCUGUGCGGAGGCGGGACUAGACUGGAUUGCACUGGACUGCACUGCCUAUGGCGCCAGGGGGCGCGCGCAGGGCGGGGAGUGCUCCGCUGGUGAUUGGUUGGGCCGUCAGACUGCGCUGAGGAGAGCUGUGCCUCGAGAGCGUUGUUACUUUUAAGGCAGUGGCGUGGUUUUGUUUGUCUUGUUUUUAUUUAAGAGAAGCUCUCAAAGUAGCGGUGACUUUCCGCCACAGAAUCACAGAAUGAUUAAGGUUGGAAAAGCCCUCUGUGUGGGAUCUGUUGAGUCAGGGCCUGAAGCACUGAUUGAUCACCUGAGGUGAGCACUGAGUCAGCCAUGGAGCACAGGUGAAGGCGAUUCAGCUGUGUGAUGGAAGGGCUGGAGCCUGGCUGCACCUCUCCUAGACCCAUUUAAGGGCUGACUGCCCUAGAGAUUGCUCCCUUUGGAGUUUUCCUAUGAGCCUGGGACAGAGGUUGUCCCUAUCAGAUACAAAUACAUUUUUCAGCCCAGUGAUGAACUGUCUUAAAGAAAAAAUCAAGCUGAGAAUACUUGCUCAAGAAAAGAAACCAGCUUAUGAAAUGCAGAUUUGAGGCUGAAAGUUCACUCCUGAAUCAUUCCAGCAUUGCAGUUUCCAAUACUGAGCCUGAACCUGGGUUCCAGUGGAUACUGACGUGGUGGUCUGAGACUCAGGGCAGUGAGUGAACACAAAUCUUUGUGUAACUUUGGCCCUGAUAAUCAGGCUUAUGAUUAAUCUUGGGUUAGUAGAAUCUUAAAUGCUCAGGAAAGUUACGAGCAAUAGCGUAGCUACAACAAUUGGAUUGUUCCUUAGCUGUGCAAAGUGUUCUUUGUGUUCUUGGAACUGUAAAGUGUAGAAAAGGAGUUUCAGAGAACAUUCCCUUUGCAAGAGUUUUCUUCAGCUAAUAUGAAAGCUAUGAACUUGUAUUUCUAGGUUUUAUGGUACAGAGCAGUCUGGGAGUAUGAAAGAAAGGACUGCAAUGAGAUUUAGCUGUUCUUUGCUUUCAGUAAGUACUUUCAAAAGUACUGUGUAUGUUUAUGAAUGGGAGAUGGUAUAGAGACAGUUUCUCUGUUGCUGCCUUUGCAGUACUGCUUCCUCUUAACCCAGGAGCAAAAGGAACAGAUUUUCCCCAGAUUGUUCCUUAGAAUGAAUGCUUCAAGCCAGGGUUUCUUUGACUCUGGAAAAAGCAUGCUCAUGGUGGUGCUGAAAGUUUAAGAGAUCUUAUUAGUAAAUAAACAAAGGCAAAUGGUAAAUCUAAACCGAAAUAUUUACCAGAAAAUCUUAAUAGUGCUCAGGGGAAAAAUAGUAAUGCUGAAUUUAUUGUCCUCUUUUGUGUGGUCCUAAGGAAAAAAAAGUUUCUUCUUUACUAGGUGCUGUGGAGGCCAAAUUCCCUGACUAACUCCCUGUGCAUAUGCAGUAUGAAUUGCAAAUGCAGUGUUUAAUUGUGCACUAUGUCAAAGUAUUUUUCAUACAUAGGUAUUUCACUGUGCAUGAACAUUUUUCUUUGUGGAUUUAGAGAAAAAUGUAGUAAAAAGGGGUUAUGUGCCCAUUCUUGCUGCAUUUAUUUUCUCAUAGAGACAGGGCUGCAAAACAGAGUUCAGCAUCUUGGAUGCUAAUUUAGAGACUAAAGCAAUAUUAUUGUCUGCUAAGUUAUUUCUGUGAAAGACUGACAAAUCAUAUGACAGAUUUCACAGGUAGUCAUUAAUUGUGUUCAAGGUGUCUCUUUUUGUUUUUUCCUCUUUGCAUACUUAAUUUCUUAUGUUGGAGUCUGACCUCUUGUAACUGAGAUCAGUAAGAGCUGUGCUUUGGAGGUUAGGUGUUCUGAAAUGUCACAUCUGAAACUGGAUGCAUCAUAUCAUCAAGUAUUGCUGGUUACAGCAACUUAAUUCCUUGGCUUCUAUCUGUAAAAUGAAGCAAAAACCAGCCAUUCUGCAAGUGAGGUAGAAUGAUGGCAAUGAAUUGCCAUUAUAAAGCAUUUCUAUGGGAAAGCGUGUGGGAGUGUAAAUAAUGUAGUAUUCUGGGCAGUGUUUAAUUAUUAUUUGAUGAAAAAGGCCUAAAGCCACUCACUGAUUGGAGAAUGAAGGUAAAAUUUUGAAAAACUUCUGAAAAAUUUGGCUUUGCCUUUUGUAAGUACACAGUGAGAUAAGGAUCUUGCAAAAUUAGUGAAGUCAUUAAAGAGAUUAUCUCAAAUUAACUUCACAAGUUCAGGCAGAGGUCCAUGCACAGCAAACUAGGAGAGGCUUCUCCACUCCAUCUCCACUGUUUUCGCCAUCAUGGCAGCAUGUAUUUUCCAUGAGAGAACUAGUGCGUGUCAAAACUGUGGUGCUGGAAAGCAUGGGUACCAAGUAGUCAAUAUAGUGCAGAACUAAUGAAGUCUUGACAUCAUAGGCUGUGAUUUUUGACAUAAACGUUUCUACCUCCAGUAGAUGUCAUUUUCCUGUAUCACAUUAAGGUAGUGACCUCCCGAACAUGCUGCAGAGGAGAUGAGUCAGUGUUUACAUAACUUUAGCAACCAGUUUCUGUGCAUUACAGGAGAGUUUUGCUGAUAUGGAACAGCUGACAUGACCUUCAUUUAGUCCAUUUCCUCUCAUCUUCCUUAAAGUAUUCAUUAGAUUCUGUCUGAUCCAAUUUAAAAGUUACAACUCUCCUGUUCCUUUGUUACCUUCUCAACUUAACUAAUUAUUUUGCUUUGCUCAGCAGUAACCAUUACUUUGAUUAGACCAUUCUCUUUUCCUUUUUCAUUGUCUAGAAAUAUGUCUUGCUCUCAUUAAAACCUUUAGUAGAUUCUUUGGCAUGUAAUCAUUAAUAUAAAAGCAUCAGGGAAAGGUUUGGCAAAGAUGAAGGGAAAUUUUCAGUGAAGAGAUGCUGAGAGUCAAAAGAAGCAAAUAGGGUGGGAGACAAUGAAAGAUCUAGAAACUAAGCUGUCUGAGGAAGGUAAGUAGUGAUAAUGGAAAUUACUGCCCUGUAGCAGUGAUAUAGCAGCACAUUCUGUUAAGUUCAGAAACGGGGAACUUAAAAUUUAUUGACAAGAAAUUGUCACCAAUUGAUGUCAUAAUUGAAUUAAGGUAUUUCUGAAGGACUGUAUUGAAACCCAAAACUUCAGAAGAUACUAAAAUUAUGAAUGUUGCUAAUGCAGUAACUAACAAUGGUAGGAGAGGUACUUGGCAAGUUUAUCAGCCAAGCUUUUAUCCAAUUGGCACUUCAAAGAUGUUGGUGAGAGUAAAUGAGAGAAGGAGAGAGCACAAGAGAUUAAUCUAUUUAAUUCUUUCUAGAUAUGCAUUUGAAACUGGCUGCAGAUGUGAUCACCUCCAGGUACCUUCUAUACUGCCAUGAAUUUGUAAUUAAAACUAUUGGAUUAAAAAUGUGCUCAUGUUGAGUAGUUUUGUUACUGACACUAAUGACUAAAAGCAAGAAGACAUGCAGAUAAAACACCAUCAUUGUUGACUAUUGAAUACUGCAGAAUGCAAAUCCCUUCCUCCCCCUUAUUCCCUACAAUGCAAACACAUACAUGUAUGUAAUAUUAAUUCUAGCCAAAUCAACCUCUUUGGAGAUAUGAGACACCACUGUGUGAUGUAGCUGCAGUUCUGAUUGCGUUAACAUAGUUUGUUGUUCUUCCGCCAGCCUUCCUCCAUUAAAAAGGAUAUCACUUCCUACAGAUAAUCCUACUGGAAAUUGAUGUGUUGCUGUGGUAGGUGUGAUCCCUUAUACUUAGUACAGUUUUAAAGAAAAACACUUGGAAGCACUGUACAGGAAAGGUUCAAAUCUGGAAAGGUUCAAAUAGAUGGAAAUGAUACAUAAAUGUAAAUUUCUUGCUGGACAAUUCUGCAUAAGCUCUGCGACUUUCUUGAGUUAAAUAAGUGCUGUGAAGAGAUAAAGAAAUGCUUCUUUAUGAGCAUUAUUCUAUAACAAAUGCUAGUUAAUAACUUUUCUCUCCACAGUCAACUGAAGUAACCUCAUCUGAUCAUUUUGUUUAAGUAGACACAACUUUGCUCAAAUUUUUGAAAACCUCAAGGCUCUUUUUGAACAUGAAGAUACAUACACAUAUAAAGAUUUUUGAAUAGGCUUUCAUCUGCUCUCACACACAGGGCUUCUGUACCCAUGGUCCUUCUCUAUCCUACAUGUAAGUAUUCUCUAACCUAAACUGUGAAGAGUUCUUAGAGCAGAAGUGAAUACCCUUACAGCAGCUCCAUUGUACCCGACUGAAGGUUGAAAUUAUGUAAUUGCCUCCUGUUACAAAUUAAUGAUUCAAGAAGGCACUUAUACCUGCAUUAUUUGCAGAAUGAAUCUUUGAAACUAUAUACUACAGAUAGCUGGUUAAAUUAAAAAAAGAAAAAAAGCCUGUGUUAUCCAAGAGAAGGACUGUAAGGACCAUGAAGUUGUAGGCUUUGAGUUGUGUUUAUUUGCUACUUUUCAAACUGGAUAAUUUCACAGUCUUAGCAUUGCACACUUUGUCUUUCCUUGGAAAAAAUAAAUAUAAUGUUUCACAGCUAUUGCUUACGUCUUGGGACAAAUUUCCAGGAAUUUAAUCUCCAGAGUAAAUGUAAAUACUGCCUUUGAGAGGCACUGCUGCAGGUUCUUUCCAUUCCUAGAAAAUACACGUUAAAUUACACUUUAUGUUCACACCAAUGGCAAAAUGCUAUUGAAAAAAAUGAAUUUUUUUUUUUUUGCAAUUGAAAUAAAAUGGGGCUGACACAAAGAAAAUGUUUAUUCCUUGGCAAAUGUUUGGGACUUUGCUAUGUUCAGUUGUUGUCAGCAUAAGAUGAUGCAGUCUUUGGUUAGUAGUUCGAAUGUGUAUUGUAAAUUACUUGCAAGGAAAGAUUUUGCAUCUGUCCUUCCAUAUUAUUGCCUUCCAACUAGGAGACAUCCUGUAUAGGCCUCUGUGUAAUAACCUCUACAAAAAGUAUUACACAGUCCAGCAAAUGCUGUGUACAUGUUGCAUUUUAGAGUAUGAUUAAUGCUCUAGCCAUGCAGAAGAAUCCUUCGUGAGCAUGGCAAGAACAAAAGUAUCUAGACAUAUGGUUUGGAGUUAGCAGAACUCUGUGACAGUCUUGCAAUUGCGUGUCCGAAGGCUUUGACCUUAGAGGAGUCUGCAUCUGAACUACAUUGCAAGGAAAACUGUGUUCAAGGUUCUGGAAUGUAGUUUGAAACAUGCAAAUGAGGAGAUCUAUUGCAUGUGAGCUGUUUAGGUGGUCCAGAGUAAUGAAGAGCUCUGUCAAAUGGAAGCAUAAAUAUUAUAAUGAAAAUGUUUAGUGCAGGGUCAUUGGAUUAUAAACAAAAUAGUGGAGAGAUACUGAAUUAAGUUUUCAACGUUAAGUAACCAGGCACUGUGAAGCUACAACAGAUUAGAACGGCACAUAAAUUACCCUAUCAGGCCACAUAAUGUGUUUCUUCAAGUAAGCUUCCUUAUGUAGUGUUCAGUCAUUAGAAUAAUUUUACAAUUUGCUAUUCAAACCCUUACAUUUAUGACAGCCAGUGGGAAUUUCCAACCAUGGCAAAGCUCACAUUAGUGCUGUAUUAUUUAUUUGCAUUUAUAGCAAGCCUAUAGCAAGAGUGUUGUUUAACUAAUCCCCAAUUAAGCGCAUAUCAUUAACUGAGUACUGCAUCAUCAAGGAAAUGCUGUCAUGGAAAUCACAGAAUCAUAGAGUUGCUCAGGUUGAAAAAGGCCUUGAAGAUCAUCAAGUCCAACCACAACCUAACCAUACUACCCUACCUCUAACAACCCUCGGCUCAGUCAUGUCCCUGAGCACCACAUCCAAAUGGUUUUUAGUCACAUCCAGGGAUGGUGACUCAACCACCUCCCCGUGGAGCCUAUUCCAGUGCUUAACCACCUUUUCUAUAAAGUUGUUUUUCCUGGUGUUUGUUCUCAACCUCCCCUGGCACAACAUGAGGCCAUUUCCCAAAUCAGUCUCAUAUCGCAGCAGACUAGGGCCAGAAGGCCUGAGUUUGCCUGAGCACUGAAAAGGCCUUUUCCUGCUUCCUGGAAGCCAGUUUUAAAACUCUGAUGAACUUUGAAAGGAAGGCAGAGGGAGUUCCAGGGAAUCCAAAUGUGGUGUGCAUCUUUGCUGUAAGUUGCACUCUGGCUUCUACUGACUCUGACCUUCUCCUGAGGCCUACCAGCAGCUUCUUGGCUUUGACUUACUCUACUUUUCCUCCUUGUUUACAAGCUUUUGGGGUCAGAUCUUAUGGUACAGAGUCUGCCAAGCAUAUGUCGAUGGAACAAACUUGAACAGAGCAUGUCUUUACUCAUAAAGUGUGUGGCAGGAUCUGUUCUUUCUUUGAUUUUCUAACUUUGACAUCUGUGAGUCUGUGUGAGGUCAUGCAGAGAGAAGCACCGAGGUUGGUUGUAUCUCAAGAAGAAAAUGGAGUAUUCUCUUUCCUAAGGAUUUUCACUUCUAGGCAAAAUGGCUCAUCCCUUUUACAUCUUUGACAGCAUUGAGCUUUCUUGGAUUCCCUGACUUGCCGUAUUAUUUUUAAGAAAGAAUGGUCUAAUACUGUGUUGUCUUUGUUAUAUUACUCCUAGAGAUGAGCCUGCACACAUCAGAGGUAUCUAUCUAGUACUGAGAUAGUGUAAAUAGACCUGAGUGGAGAAAGCUGGGCAGAACUUUAUUUCCUUUGAAAUAAGAAUACUUCAAGAAAUUAUGUUCAUUUCUUUUACUUUAAAUUUACAAGAUUUUUUAGGGAGAAGGUUGAAAUGUUCUAUUUUUAUCACUUUAAAAUUAGAUUUUUUUUAGCUCAUAUCAGUGCAGUAAGUUAAAUCAUUGUAUUACAGUGUGUGUGUAUAUAUAUAUCAGUGGAGAGUGUUUUUUUUUUUUUUU